CCUACGGGUGGCAGCAGUGGGGAAUAUUGGACAAUGGGGGGAACCCUGAUCCAGCCAUGCCGCGUGUGUGAAGAAGGCCCUCGGGUUGUAAAGCACUUUCAGUGAGGAAGAACGCCUGGUGGUUAAUACCCAUCAGGAAAGACAUCACUCACAGAAGAAGCACCGGCUAACUCCGUGCCAGCAGCCGCGGUAAUACGGAGGGUGCGAGCGUUAAUCGGAAUUACUGGGCGUAAAGCGCGCGUAGGUGGCUUGAUAAGCCGGUUGUGAAAGCCCCGGGCUCAACCUGGGAACGGCAUCCGGAACUGUCAAGCUAGAGUGCAGGAGAGGAAGGUAGAAUUCCCGGUGUAGCGGUGAAAUGCGUAGAGAUCGGGAGGAAUACCAGUGGCGAAGGCGGCCUUCUGAACUGACACUGACACUGAGGUGCGAAAGCGUGGGUAGCAAACAGGAUUAGAUACCCCUGUAGUC
Molecule: ribosomal RNA, 465 nt
Filed under: Vreelandella stevensii
Lineage: Bacteria; Pseudomonadati; Pseudomonadota; Gammaproteobacteria; Oceanospirillales; Halomonadaceae
Description: partial 16S ribosomal RNA
Rfam family: Bacterial small subunit ribosomal RNA
Source: RNAcentral